RNAcentral lists this ribosomal RNA (484 nucleotides) under Tsukamurella strandjordii. RNAcentral describes it as "bacterial SSU rRNA". It matches the Rfam family "Bacterial small subunit ribosomal RNA", at positions 97 to 595 of the family's 1533-position model. Lineage: Bacteria; Bacillati; Actinomycetota; Actinomycetes; Mycobacteriales; Tsukamurellaceae. The record is from RNAcentral.
GGCGAACGGGUGAGUAACACGUGGGUGAUCUGCCCUGUACUUCGGGAUAAGCCUGGGAAACUGGGUCUAAUACCGGAUAUGACCUUCUCCUGCAUGGGGGUUGGUGGAAAGCUUUUGCGGUACAGGAUGGGCCCGCGGCCUAUCAGCUUGUUGGUGGGGUAAUGGCCUACCAAGGCGACGACGGGUAGCCGGCCUGAGAGGGCGACCGGCCACACUGGGACUGAGACACGGCCCAGACUCCUACGGGAGGCAGCAGUGGGGAAUAUUGCACAAUGGGCGCAAGCCUGAUGCAGCGACGCCGCGUGAGGGAUGACGGCCUUCGGGUUGUAAACCUCUUUCAGUAGGGACGAAGCGCAAGUGACGGUACCUACAGAAGAAGCACCGGCCAACUACGUGCCAGCAGCCGCGGUAAUACGUAGGGUGCAAGCGUUGUCCGGAAUUACUGGGCGUAAAGAGCUCGUAGGCGGUUUGUCACGUCGUCUGU